UGCCGGGGCCCGGCUUGCCCUCAAAAAUGUAGCUGUCGUCUUUCUCUCAACACGGUUAUCCCGCAAAUACGACUAGUCAUUACAAUAUUAAAAAGUUAAAUGUUUGUCGUCAAUUGUUGUCUAAUAUAAUAUCAAUCGUCUCUAUAGUAGUUUUUGUUGUUUUAGGUAGGUAGGAAAAUCUUUUAGAAGGUAAUAAGACUAGCAACAAUGCCAGACUGGAUCUGGCUGCUGGGCGCGGCGCUGUUCGGCGCGGUGGCUGCGCUAGCGAUCCCCGUCGCCAUCCUGCUGUACUUCCUGAGACCUUUCGACAAGACUCCCCCGGCCGACGACCUGUCCAGGCGGCCGGUUACUUUACCGGCGGAGGUACUGAGCGAGCUGACGCGCGGCGCGGGCAGCACACCAGAGGGCGCUCUCAACGCCAUGCUGCAGUUCAUCUUCCAGCAAAGCACGGCGGACACGCGCUGGCUGCGCCGGCGCAUGGCCACGGAGCUCGCUGAGCUGCUCGCCAAGACCUCGUCGGGGAAGAUCUUUGAGUCGCUCACGCUUCGCUCUUUAGAAGUGGGCACAGAGUUCCCCAGCAUCACGGCGUUGCGCGUGCUGAACGGAUCGCUCGAGGAAGACGGCGCUCGGCUGCGCUCGCUCGACCUGGCCUGCAACCUGGCCUACGACGGCAACUUCAAGAUCGACGUCGACGCUGUCAUGCUGCUCGGGAAGAUCGCCAACAUCUCCAUCACAGUCGAGAGCCUAAGCGGAAUCAUCCGAGUAAUGUUCCGCCGCAACCCGUACACCCACUGGGCGCUGGCGUUCGAGUCCCCGCCCAAGCUCGAGCUCCGCGUCCGAGGCCGUUUCCAGGGGAGACAGCUCAAGCCCCGGCUGGCGUCGCUGGUCGCUGCACAUAUCAGGAGGGCGGUGGCACAACGCCAUACGUUACCUAAUUAUAAGAUACGAUACAAACCAUUCUUCCCGAAAUCUGAGCCAGGCGGAGCGGAGGGUGAAGAAGGCCCAACGCCACACGGCCGGUUGACCGUCCGCCUAGUGGAGGUCACCAGGCUGCAGUGGAACGGAGGCGCGGGGACAGUCCGUGCCGCUUUAGCCGUCGACUCGCAUGGUUGGGUGUCCCUCCGGCGUGGAGUACUGACGCUAGACGUACUGUUACCAGCCAUGACUGGCGCACUCGGCCUCGUGUGCUGCCAGGGUGUAGGGGCUGUACUUGUGGACACCGUGGUGCCCAUGUCACCGGCGUACCGCGCUGAUCUACGGCGAGAUGACGUCGUGCUGGCCGUCGAUAACAAGCCGGUCUGCAAUGUGGCACAGGUUGGCAAGCUCCUCCGCCUAAUUGAGCGGCGAGCGGUGACGAUCCGGCUCCGUCGCGGGGGCACCACGCCGCCGGUGCGGCGCGAAGACUCGACGGACGGCCGCCGCGCGCGCACAAACUUCAGCUUCCGAAGAGUCUCUGAGGUCAUGGAGGGCGUGCGGCUGCAGGGCAUGCGCGCGGCUGCGUCCAAGACCAGCCUGCACUCGGAAGAUUCAACGAAAGCCCCGGAAGCUGCAGAGACCGAAACCAAAAAGGAGCCCGUGCGUCAACUGUCCAAGUCCGACUCCCCCUCGCCCUCCAACUUCGGGCUGCGCAAGCGGCGCUGCUCCGUCGAGAACAAGUCUUCCGACAGCUCGGCCGGCUCCACGCCGCCCGCCUCCGGCGCCAGCACCCCCCUCCGCCAGUCCACCAAGCCCAAGCACGAGAUCCCCAUCAUACGCACCGACUCCUCCGAGUGCAGGCCGGAAAAACCCGAAGCCGAAGAAGAAGAUCAGAUCUUCGAAACCGGAGGCCCCCGCCUCACAGAGCACGUCGAGAUAUGCCAAAUGUUCUGGACUAAGAGUGUCCCUCUCAAACCUAUCAUACCAUUCGACGAAGAGACAGAGUUCAAACUAAACGAGAACCAUAAGUAUCUUAAUAUCAACGUCUGGGCGACGAUGGCGGGGGAGAAGGACGAGGUUCUACUCGGUUAUUUGAACAUUCCUUUAGCGGCGCUAUUGUCAGAAUGUCAAGAUUCUACCGUGCCGCAUCAUAUGAAGCGGUAUCAAUUUCUUCCACCCGAUGUCGAUAUAAAGUUUAGCAAAAGCCACAAGCUGUCAUCUCACGCAGGCUUCGAGCCGUGCCUGUGUUUCGGCGACGCGCUGGUCUGGUGGGAGUGGGAGGGGGCGGGCAGCGCGCGACACGCGCCGCGCGCGCCGCCACGGGAUGUGCCGAGGCCGCCCAAGCCCGUGCGGGCCGCGCACGACUUUGUGCGCACGCACUUUCACCGCUCCACGCAGUGCGAUUUCUGCAAUAAAAAGAUAUGGCUCAAAGACGCAAUGCAAUGCCGCAACUGCGGUCUGUGCUGCCACAAGAAAUGCGUCACCAAGUGCCAGGAGUCAUCGCCGUGCGUACCGGUGCAGGGACGAGAUUCUCUGACCGGCGGAGCAAUGGCGCCUCCGGAGCUCAUCACGACGGAACCUGACUCCAAUGUGGACCUGGACUCGGAUGACGAACCGGAAAGGAAAGACUCGCUCGACGUCCACGAAGAAGACGAAUUAUUCGAAUGCUGACGAACGGGGCACAUAUUUUAACAGAUCCGGACUCUUCCAACACUCACGAACACACAUACAGGUGGCGGCGCCAUGAGCGCGCUGGUGGCGGGGCUCCGGCGCGCGGGCUCGGCGCAC
Molecule: unclassified non-coding RNA, 2703 nt
Filed under: Leguminivora glycinivorella
Lineage: Eukaryota; Metazoa; Arthropoda; Insecta; Lepidoptera; Tortricidae
Description: pDZ domain-containing protein 8, transcript variant X3
Source: RNAcentral